GGCCUAUCGAUCCUUUAGACCUUCGG
This 26-nucleotide small nuclear RNA is filed under the name Arabidopsis thaliana (thale cress). RNAcentral describes it as "snRNA_18758". Lineage: Eukaryota; Viridiplantae; Streptophyta; Magnoliopsida; Brassicales; Brassicaceae. The record is from RNAcentral.